RNAcentral lists this ribosomal RNA (428 nucleotides) under uncultured bacterium. RNAcentral's name for it is "partial 16S ribosomal RNA". It matches the Rfam family "Bacterial small subunit ribosomal RNA", at positions 354 to 796 of the family's 1533-position model. The record is from RNAcentral.
GUGGGGAAUAUUGGGCAAUGGGCGCAAGCCUGACCCAGCAACGCCGCGUGAAGGAAGAAGGCUUUCGGGUUGUAAACUUCUUUUACCAGGGACGAAACAAAUGACGGUACCUGGUGAAUAAGCCACGGCUAACUACGUGCCAGCAGCCGCGGUAAUACGUAGGUGGCGAGCGUUAUCCGGAUUUAUUGGGUGUAAAGGGCGUGUAGGCGGGACAGCAAGUCAGAUGUGAAAACCAGAGGCUCAACCUCUGGCCUGCAUUUGAAACUGUUGUUCUUGAGUGUCGGAGAGGUAAUCGGAAUUCCGUGUGUAGCGGUGAAAUGCGUAGAUAUACGGAGGAACACCAGUGGCGAAGGCGGCUUCCUGGCACAAUACUGACGCUCAUGUGCGAAAGCUAGGGCAGCGAACGGGAUUAGAUACCCUUGUAGUCC